RNAcentral lists this unclassified non-coding RNA (348 nucleotides) under soil metagenome. RNAcentral describes it as "partial contains 5.8S ribosomal RNA, internal transcribed spacer 2, and large subunit ribosomal RNA". The stretch from base 1 to 120 matches the Rfam family "5.8S ribosomal RNA", at positions 35 to 154 of the family's 154-position model. The record is from RNAcentral.
GAUGAAGAACGUAGCGAAAUGCGAUACUUGGUGUGAAUUGCAGAAUUCAGUGAAUCAUCGAAUCUUUGAACGCACAUUGCGCCCGCCAGUAUUCUGGCGGGCAUGCCUGUCUGAGCGUCAUUUCAACCCUCAUGCCCCUAGGGCGUGGUGUUGGGGAUCGGCCAAAGCCCGCGAGGGACGGCCGGCCCCUAAAUCUAGUGGCGGACCCGUCGUGGCCUCCUCUGCGAAGUAGUGAUAUUCCGCAUCGGAGAGCGAUGAGCCCCUGCCGUUAAACCCCCAACUUUCCAAGGUUGACCUCAGAUCAGGUAGGAAUACCCGCUGAACUUAAGCAUAUCAAUAAGCGGAGGA